RNAcentral lists this ribosomal RNA (323 nucleotides) under uncultured eukaryote. Its description in RNAcentral is "partial 18S ribosomal RNA". It matches the Rfam family "Eukaryotic small subunit ribosomal RNA", at positions 1470 to 1796 of the family's 1831-position model. The record is from RNAcentral.
CCCUUAGAUGUUCUGGGCUGCACGCGUGCUACACUGAUAUUGCCAAUAUGUCAUUCUUAUCCGAAAUGGAUUGGGUAAUCAAGUAAUGAAAUUUCAUGCUUGGAAUCGGUAAUUGCAAUUUUAUCGUGAACGAGGAAUUCCUAGUAAGCACUAGUCAUCAGUUAAUGUUGAUUAUGUCCCUGCCCUUUGUACACACCGCCCGUCGCUACUACUGAUUGGGUGUUCAAGUGAGAUGCUUAGACCCUUGUUGCAUGGUUCAUUAUUGUGCUCCGAAAGGAAAAAGUUUCAAGCUUGAGUGUCUAGAGGAAGUAAAAGUCGUAACA